AACGAACGCUGGCGGCAGGCCUAACACAUGCAAGUCGAGCGAGGGGUAACCCUAGCGGCGGACGGGUGAGUAACGCGUGGGAACGUACCCUUUGGUUCGGAAUAGCCCUGGGAAACUGGGAGUAAUACCGGAUACGGUCGAGAGACGAAAGAUUUAUCGCCGAAGGAUCGGCCCGCGUUGGAUUAGCUUGUUGGUGAGGUAAUGGCUCACCAAGGCGACGAUCAGUAUCUGGUUUGAGAGGAUGAUCAGACACACUGGAACUGAGACACGGUCCAGACUCCUACGGGAGGCAGCAGUGGGGAAUUUUCCGCAAUGGGCGAAAGCCUGACGGAGCAAUCUCGCGUGAGGGAUGACGGCCUAUGGGUUGUAAACCUCUUUUUCAGGGAGGAACAAAAUGACGUGUACCUGAAGAAUAAGCAUCGGCUAACUCCGUG
Molecule: ribosomal RNA, 434 nt
Filed under: uncultured bacterium
Lineage: Bacteria
Description: bacterial SSU rRNA
Rfam family: Bacterial small subunit ribosomal RNA
Source: RNAcentral